GACGAACGCUGGCGGCGUGCUUAACACAUGCAAGUCGAACGGAAAGGCCCCUUUGGGGGUACUCGAGUGGCGAACGGGUGAGUAACACGUGAGUAACCUGCCCUUGACUUCGGGAUAACUUCAGGAAACUGGGGCUAAUACCGGAUAGGAAUCCUUGCUGCAUGGUGGGGGUUGGAAAGCUUCGGCGGUUUUGGAUGGACUCGCGGCUUAUCAGCUUGUUGGUGGGGUAGUGGCUUACCAAGGCUUUGACGGGUAGCCGGCCUGAGAGGGCGACCGGCCAACUUGGGACUGAGAUACGGGCCAGACUCCCACGGGAGGCAGCAGUGGGGAAUAUUGCACAAUGGGCGGAAGCCUGAUGCAGCAACGCCGCGUGCGGGAUGACGGCCUUCGGGUUGUAAACCGCUUUCAGCAGGGGCGAAGCUUGUGGUGACGGUACCUGCAGAAGAAGCACCGGCUAACUACGUG
RNAcentral lists this ribosomal RNA (465 nucleotides) under uncultured bacterium. Its description in RNAcentral is "partial 16S ribosomal RNA". It matches the Rfam family "Bacterial small subunit ribosomal RNA", at positions 28 to 507 of the family's 1533-position model. The record is from RNAcentral.